AUGGCUGCCUACAAGCUGGUGCUGAUCCACCACAGAGAGAGCAUGUGGAACCUGGAGAACUGCUUCAGUGGGUGGUACAAUGCCAACCUGAGCCCAGCAGGCCACGAGAAGGCAAAGUGCUACAGGCAGGCACUGGGAGACGCUGGCUCUGAAUUUGACACCUGCUUCACCUCAGUGCAGAAGAGAGUGAUCUGGACCGUCCGGACAGUGCUAGAUGUUAUUGAUCAGAUGUGGCUGCCAGUAAUGAGGACUUGACACCUCAAUAAGGGCACUAUGGGUGUCUGACCAGAGUCAAUAAAGCAGAAACUGCUGCAAAGCAUGGCGAGGCCCAGGUAAAGAUCUGGAGGUGCACCUGUGAUGUCCCACCACCUCUAAUGAAGCCCAACCAUCCUUUCUACAGCAACAUCAGUAAGGAUGGCAGGUAUGCAGACCUCACUGAAGAUCAGCUACCUUCCUGUGAGCAUCUGAAGGACACUACCACCAGAGCUCUACUCUUUUGGAAUGAAGAAAUAGCUCCCCAGAUCAAGGAGGGGAAAUGAGUACUGAUUGCAGCCCAUGGAAACAGCCUUCCAACCAUUGUCAAGCAUGUGGAAGGUCUCUGAAGAGGCUAUCAUGGAGCUGAACCUGUCAACUGGUUAUUCCCAUUGUCUAUGAAUUGGACAAGGACUUGAAGCCCAUCAGGCGCAUGCAGUUCUUGGGGGAUGAUCGGUAAAGCCAUGGAAGCUGCGGCUGCCGAGGGUAAGGCCAAGAAGUGA
RNAcentral lists this long non-coding RNA (755 nucleotides) under Homo sapiens (human). RNAcentral describes it as "non-protein coding lnc-SLC36A4-8:1". Lineage: Eukaryota; Metazoa; Chordata; Mammalia; Primates; Hominidae. The record is from RNAcentral.